RNAcentral lists this ribosomal RNA (708 nucleotides) under uncultured Limnohabitans sp. RNAcentral describes it as "bacterial SSU rRNA". It matches the Rfam family "Bacterial small subunit ribosomal RNA", at positions 147 to 851 of the family's 1533-position model. Lineage: Bacteria; Pseudomonadati; Pseudomonadota; Betaproteobacteria; Burkholderiales; Comamonadaceae. The record is from RNAcentral.
CGUAGCGAAAGUUACGCUAAUACCGCAUACGAUCUACGGAUGAAAGCGGGGGGUCGCAAGACCUCGCGCGAUUGGAGCGGCCGAUAUCAGAUUAGGUAGUUGGUGGGGUAAAGGCUCACCAAGCCAACGAUCUGUAGCUGGUCUGAGAGGACGACCAGCCACACUGGAACUGAGACACGGUCCAGACUCCUACGGGAGGCAGCAGUGGGGAAUUUUGGACAAUGGACGCAAGUCUGAUCCAGCCAUUCCGCGUGCAGGAUGAAGGCCCUCGGGUUGUAAACUGCUUUUGUACAGAACGAAAAGGUUUCCAUUAAUACUGGGAGCUCAUGACGGUACUGUAAGAAUAAGCACCGGCUAACUACGUGCCAGCAGCCGCGGUAAUACGUAGGGUGCAAGCGUUAAUCGGAAUUACUGGGCGUAAAGCGUGCGCAGGCGGUUAUGUAAGACAGAUGUGAAAUCCCCGGGCUCAACCUGGGAACUGCAUUUGUGACUGUAUAGCUAGAGUACGGUAGAGGGGGAUGGAAUUCCGCGUGUAGCAGUGAAAUGCGUAGAUAUGCGGAGGAACACCGAUGGCGAAGGCAAUCCCCUGGGCCUGCACUGACGCUCAUGCACGAAAGCGUGGGGAGCAAACAGGAUUAGAUACCCUGGUAGUCCACGCCCUAAACGACGUCAACUGGUUGUUGGGUCUUCACUGACUCAGUAACGAAG